GACUCCCUUUCUGCACAGGAUGAAUUUGUACAGCUGUCUGAUGACAGUGACUUUGAAUACCCCGCACCACAAAGAAGAGGUCUGCAGAUGUCCUGACCAGAGAAGAAAUAACCGGAAUUCUCAGAGCACAUGCUGACAAACUCACUCCAACAACAAAGUCAAUCUACAUUAGCCGCUCGAAUUCAAGUUUAAGAGCAAUUUAACAGACCCAGAUUUUCAGAGAACUUAAGUACACUGUAUGUCACCUUUGCAAGUGAUGAGAUGGAUGCAAAUGAAGAUGCAGAGGACUUAGGAGGGCCACGAAGAGAGUUCUUCCGUCUACUUGUGAGGGCUAUCUUCCAGGAUAGUGGAGCAUUUGAAGGUCAAAGAAGCAAGCACACAGGAUGAAUUGGAGGA
This is a long non-coding RNA of Megalops cyprinoides (Indo-Pacific tarpon), 396 nucleotides long. RefSeq lists it as uncharacterized. The record is from RefSeq and is a predicted model, not a curated record. Lineage: Eukaryota; Metazoa; Chordata; Actinopteri; Elopiformes; Megalopidae. The transcript is spliced from 3 exons.